RNAcentral lists this ribosomal RNA (434 nucleotides) under uncultured bacterium. Its description in RNAcentral is "partial 16S ribosomal RNA". It matches the Rfam family "Bacterial small subunit ribosomal RNA", at positions 29 to 508 of the family's 1533-position model. The record is from RNAcentral.
AACGAACGCUGGCGGCAUGCCUAACACAUGCAAGUCGAACGAGACCUUCGGGUCUAGUGGCGCACGGGUGCGUAACGCGAGGGAACCUUCCCUUAGGGUCGGAAUAACUCCCCGAAAGGGGUGCUAAUACCGGAUAAUGUCUUCGGACCAAAGAUUUAUGGCCUUUGGAUGGGCCCGCGUUGGAUUAGCUAGUUGGUAGGGUAAAAGCCUACCAAGGCGACGAUCCCUAGCUGGUCUGAGAGGAUGAUCAGCCACACUGGGACUGGGACACGGCCCAGACUCCUACGGGAGGCAGCCGUGGGGAAUCUUGGACAAUGGGCGAAAGCCUGAUCCAGCAAUGCCGCGUGAGUGAUGAAGGCCUUCGGGUUGUAAAGCUCUUUUACCCGGGAUGAUAAUGACAGUUCCGGGAGAAUAAGCUCCGGCUAACUCCGUGC